GAUGAACGCUAGCUACAGGCUUAACACAUGCAAGUCGAGGGGUAACGAGAGGGAAGCUUGCUUUCCUUGUCGACGACCGGCGCACGGGUGAGUAACGCGUAUCCAACCUGCCCCCAACUAGGGAAUAACCUUGCGAAAGUAAGACUAAUACCCUAUAAUUUCCUCAGAUGUCAUCUGACGAGGAAUAAAGAUUUAUCGGUUGUGGAUGGGGAUGCGUCUGAUUAGCUUGUUGGCGGGGUAACGGCCCACCAAGGCAACGAUCAGUAGGGGUUCUGAGAGAAAGGUCCCCCACAUUGGAACUGAGACACGGUCCAAACUCCUACGGGGGGCAGCAGUGAGGAAUAUUGGUAAAGGGGGGGAAGCCUGAACCAGCCAAGUAGCGUGCAGGAUGACGGCCCUAUGGGUUGUAAACUUCUUUUAUACAGGAAUAAAGUUAGCCACGUGUGGUUAUUUGUAGGUACUGUAUGAAUAAGGACCGGCUAAUUCCGUGCCAGCAGCCGCGGUAA
Molecule: ribosomal RNA, 506 nt
Filed under: uncultured bacterium
Lineage: Bacteria
Description: partial 16S ribosomal RNA
Rfam family: Bacterial small subunit ribosomal RNA
Source: RNAcentral